This 153-nucleotide ribosomal RNA is filed under the name Amphichorda felina. Its description in RNAcentral is "Beauveria felina 5.8S ribosomal RNA". It matches the Rfam family "5.8S ribosomal RNA". Rfam says of the family: 5.8S ribosomal RNA (5.8S rRNA) is a component of the large subunit of the eukaryotic ribosome. It is transcribed by RNA polymerase I as part of the 45S precursor that also contains 18S and 28S rRNA. Functionally, it is thought that 5.8S rRNA may be involved in ribosome translocation. The record is from RNAcentral. Lineage: Eukaryota; Fungi; Ascomycota; Sordariomycetes; Hypocreales; Bionectriaceae.
AAUUAAAACUUUCAGCAACGGAUCUCUUGGUUCUGGCAUCGAUGAAGAACGCAGCGAAAUGCGAUAAGUAAUGUGAAUUGCAGAAUUCAGUGAAUCAUCGAAUCUUUGAACGCACAUUGCGCCCGCCAGUACUCUGGCGGGCAUGCCUGUCCG